GCUUCUAUAGUCUAGGGGCUAAGACAUUAGGUUUUCGACUUAAGAAGAGGGGUUCGAGUCCCCUUAGGAGUG
This 72-nucleotide transfer RNA is filed under the name Iotrochota birotulata (green finger sponge). Its description in RNAcentral is "tRNA-Glu". It matches the Rfam family "tRNA". Rfam says of the family: Transfer RNA (tRNA) molecules are approximately 80 nucleotides in length. The record is from RNAcentral. Lineage: Eukaryota; Metazoa; Porifera; Demospongiae; Poecilosclerida; Iotrochotidae.